GAUCAUGGCUCAGGACGAACGCUGGCGUCGUGCUUAACACAUGCAAGUCGAACGAAAAGACGGAAAGAGCUUGCUCUUUUCAGAAUUGAGUGGCAAACGGGUGAGUAACACGUAAACAACCUGCCUUCAGGAUGGGGACGAACAGACGGAAACGACUGCUAAUACCGAAUAAGUUCCAAGAGCCGCAUGGCCCAUGGAAGAAAAGGUGGCCUCUACCUGUAAGCUAUCGCCUGAAGAGGGGUUUGCGU
Molecule: ribosomal RNA, 248 nt
Filed under: uncultured bacterium
Lineage: Bacteria
Description: partial 16S ribosomal RNA
Rfam family: Bacterial small subunit ribosomal RNA
Source: RNAcentral